CGUCCACUCCAAGAAUGAGCAUUCAGGAUCUUUUCCUGGAGCUAAAUUACUACCCAGAAAAACUAUCCAGAGGCACUUUGGAAAUAUCUUCACUUACUUCUUGUUCAUACUAAUACGAACAACCUCACUUAUCUCAUUUAAGCACUGCAGUAGGCCUUUUCAUUCGUUCAUUGCUUUGCCAAAACUCUAAUAAAUUCAGUGAGAGCUGUACAUGAGAGAGAACUCCAGGACAGCAAAGGAUACCAAGGAUCUAAUCUGAAGACAUAAUGGAGAAUAUAACAGAUAAAAACUACAUAUCAGUCAGAGAAUAGGAAUAGAGACAUCUCCGAAGUGUGUGGCUGGAAGGACCCCCAAGAGGUCAGGUAUUCAGCCCAGCCCCCUGUUCGAGGGGGUAUCUAUGCAUUUGAUAGAAUAGACACUGGAUGAUGAAAGGAAUUCCACAGUUUCCCUAAGCAACUGCACCGAUGCUCAGAAAUCACGUGCAGCAAAUGGCAUGCGCGUCCGUCUUGGCAA
Molecule: long non-coding RNA, 513 nt
Organism: Rhea pennata
Lineage: Eukaryota; Metazoa; Chordata; Aves; Rheiformes; Rheidae
Exons: 3
Source: RefSeq, a predicted model, not a curated record